Pelobates cultripes (western spadefoot toad) is the source of this 781-nucleotide non-coding RNA. The record is from the annotation of a GenBank genome assembly. NCBI's taxonomy places the organism in Eukaryota, Metazoa, Chordata, Amphibia, Anura, Pelobatidae.
AUAGAUAGAUAGAUAGAUAGAUAGAUAGAUAGAUAGAUAGAUAGAUUUACACACAUGUAGUACCAAAAUAGGUUAGAAUUUUGAUUCUAUUUUCCACUGUUUUGUCAUUGUUUCAAUAUUAUAUUAACCCAUUAAAAGUAGAAAAUCGGUAUAGUUUUGCAUACUUACUAAACUUCAGAUCAUCCUAAUAUGAAGCAGAGCUUAAGGUCUCUAGUUAUGCUUAUCAAAGUCGUAUCUUAAAUUCGGGCACAACUUCAAUAAGUUCAAAUAUAGCACCAGUAGGCUUUCAUGUUUCCUGAUUUCUUUUAAAAACAGAUCAUGUCUUAUAUUGGACAAAGUAUGGGUUUAUUUCUAAAGAGCAAAUACUAUGUGGUUAACAGCUUUAUAAUUCCACCAAGCCUAUCACCAAGACAAACAUAGCACAGCAGAAAAUUAUUUAACGCAAAUAUGUUAACUGAAAUAACGUAAGCAAUAAUAACUGACUUCAUGAGCAUACCAUUGGCUGUCAAUCAAUCCCCCAUUAUUACAUUAACUCAGUAGUCAAAUAUAUUAACUGUGUAGUCAAAUCAAGUGAGUGAAUUAACCCUUCGGCUUAAGGAUUAAUUCACACAGGGAGUGAAUUAACCCUUCGGCUUAAGGGUUAAUUUACUAUGGAAAGGCAGACUUUUUAGAAUAUUAUCAGAUUAUUCUUAUAAUAAUUAAACAUAUUUAAUGCUUUGGAAUCAUAUGUCUCAUAAUUAUGUUUUUAUUGUCUUUUCAGAUGAUUACAAGUGUGGAUAGA